UACGUAGGGGGCAAGCGUUGUCCGGAAUCAUUGGGCGUAAAGCGCGUGUAGGCGGCUGAGUAAGUCUGCUCUGAAAGCCCAGGGCUCAACCCUGGGAGGCGGGUGGAUACUACUGGACUAGAGUACGGAAGAGGAGAUUGGAAUUCCUGGUGUAGCGGUGAAAUGCGCAGAUAUCAGGAGGAACACCGAUGGCGAAGGCAGAUCUCUGGGCCGUAACUGACGCUGAGGAGCGAAAGCAUGGGGAGCGAACAGG
Molecule: ribosomal RNA, 253 nt
Filed under: uncultured bacterium
Lineage: Bacteria
Description: partial 16S ribosomal RNA
Rfam family: Bacterial small subunit ribosomal RNA
Source: RNAcentral